Long non-coding RNA from Manihot esculenta (cassava), 1148 nucleotides. RefSeq lists it as uncharacterized. The transcript is spliced from 2 exons. NCBI's taxonomy places the organism in Eukaryota, Viridiplantae, Streptophyta, Magnoliopsida, Malpighiales, Euphorbiaceae. The record is from RefSeq and is a predicted model, not a curated record.
UAUCUUUUAAAGCGAUCAUUUUACUCCUGUGCAACUCCAAAAUAAUUAACCUCUUCCAAAUAUACUAUUAAGCUCUAUUACUAUCUUCAUUUAUUACCUUAAAAACUCUUGUACAAUUGGGAGAAUUCACUUUACAUGUCUGAAUUCUAAUUAUUUUCGGAGCUCACUUUCAUCAAUCGUGAUAAAAUAUAUACAAGGCACAUGAUAUUUUAUACAUAUAACGAUUAUAUUAUAAAAUAUACGGCGGAGGAAAGAAUUUUUAAAGAAAGCGCUGUGGAGUAUUGGGAGGAAGGAAAAUGAUAUUUUAGACAAAGCGGUAGGUAGUAUUAGCGAGUUGACUUAAAUUUCCAAGUCUUUGUUAUCUGUUCUUGCGGGAAAUAGCAGAAACCAAGAAUCAGAUGGAUCAAUCUGAUACCAUUCGUGGAUUUCGACGACGAUAUCAGAGGAGAAAAAUCUAUAACAUAAGAUCUUCUCUCGGCUACGAUAAAUCAGCAAGCUUGUGAAGAACAUCAGCAAUGGUGGGGCGAUCUGAAGGUUGGGGAUUGACACAAUCCAAUCCAAGCGCUGUAAUUGCGUCGGCAGCCUCUUUGGAACAUCCAGUUCUUGCUAAUUGUGGAUGCAGCAAUUUUUGUGUAGGGUAAGUUCUCAUUGCCCAGUCCCCAAUCCGCCAUGGAACGCUAGCUCCAAUGCUGUAAGUUCUCUCUUUCUUGGUUAUGAGUUGUAUUAUUAUUUCUCCAAAACUGUAAAUAUCAUCUGCUCUGUUUCCUGACGAAAGAAAAGGGAAAAAAAAACACACACACUAUCUUUAUCAUUUUUGAAGAUAUUUAACUAAAUUUAUGAAAAUUUUCUAAACACUAAUUUAUAAGUACAUUAUAAACAAAAUUGUUAGCUUAUUUUUAGGAUUUUUUUUCAUAAAAUAAUUUGUAAUAAACCUUAUAAGCUGAAGAAAAAAGUUACCUGAGAUUAUAUGUUCUCCCUCUGGUGUAACCUUCCCAAAAUCAGCUAGCUUGGGAGUAAAAUUCUGUACUCAUAAGGAUCAAAUACAAUUCAGUAGUUAACUCAAAAAAAAAAAAAACUUUAUAAUGUAAAUUUCCUUUUGGAAAAAAAAAAAGAUAAUUAAAUGACCUUAUCGAGCAAAAUAUUGUCCA